Molecule: small RNA, 458 nt
Filed under: Pongo abelii (Sumatran orangutan)
Lineage: Eukaryota; Metazoa; Chordata; Mammalia; Primates; Hominidae
Description: retained intron
Source: RNAcentral
ACGCCCGCAGGACUCCGUCAAUGUGGAUGCCGUCAUCAGCAAGAUCGAGAGCACCUUCGCCCAGUUCCCCCACGAGAGGGCCACCAUGGACGACAUGGGCCUGGUGGCCAAGGCCUGCGGCUGCCCCCUCUACUGGAAGGGGCCGCUCUUCUAUGGCGCCGGCGGGGAGCGCACGGGCUCCGUGUCCGUCCACAAGUUCGUCGCCAUGUGGAGAAAAAUCCUCCAGAACUGCCACGACGACGCGGCCAAGUUCCUCCAUCUGCUCAUGAGCCCCGGCUGCAACUACCUGGUGCAGGAGGACUUUGUCCCCUUCUUGCAGGACGUGGUGAACACGCACCCGGGGCUGUCGUUCCUGAAGGAGGCGUCCGAGUUCCACUCGCGCUACAUCACCACGGUGGGUCCGCAGCGGAGGGGCCGUGGGUUCCAGCGCGGGGCGGGGGUGUUUCUGCAGCGGCCGC